This 73-nucleotide transfer RNA is filed under the name Gemmatimonadota bacterium. RNAcentral's name for it is "Gemmatimonadetes bacterium (soil metagenome) tRNA-Ala". It matches the Rfam family "tRNA". Rfam says of the family: Transfer RNA (tRNA) molecules are approximately 80 nucleotides in length. Their secondary structure includes four short double-helical elements and three loops (D, anti-codon, and T loops). Further hydrogen bonds mediate the characteristic L-shaped molecular structure. tRNAs have two regions of fundamental functional importance: the anti-codon, which is responsible for specific mRNA codon recognition, and the 3' end, to which the tRNAs corresponding amino acid is attached (by aminoacyl-tRNA synthetases). tRNAs cope with the degeneracy of the genetic code in two manners: having more than one tRNA (with a specific anti-codon) for a particular amino acid; and 'wobble' base-pairing, i.e. permitting non-standard base-pairing at the 3rd anti-codon position. The record is from RNAcentral. Lineage: Bacteria; Pseudomonadati; Gemmatimonadota. RNAcentral also lists the same sequence under 3 other names.
GGGGCCGUAGCUUAGUUGGGAGAGCGCCGCCCUUGCACGGCGGAGGUCCGGGGUUCGAGUCCCCGCGGCUCCA